This 46-nucleotide ribosomal RNA is filed under the name Phytophthora ramorum (sudden oak death agent). RNAcentral describes it as "partial 28S ribosomal RNA". The record is from RNAcentral. Lineage: Eukaryota; Oomycota; Peronosporomycetes; Peronosporales; Peronosporaceae.
UUGGACCUGAUAUCAGGCAAGAUUACCCGCUGAACUUAAGCAUAUA